Cordylochernes scorpioides is the source of this 73-nucleotide non-coding RNA. NCBI's taxonomy places the organism in Eukaryota, Metazoa, Arthropoda, Arachnida, Pseudoscorpiones, Chernetidae. The record is from the annotation of a GenBank genome assembly.
UUCCAGGGAUGGGAAUCGAACCCACAAUGUUCCGCUUACCGGGCAGAUGCCAUGUCCACUAGGCUACCCUGGA